Molecule: ribosomal RNA, 253 nt
Filed under: uncultured bacterium
Lineage: Bacteria
Description: partial 16S ribosomal RNA
Rfam family: Bacterial small subunit ribosomal RNA
Source: RNAcentral
UACGGAGGGUGCUAGCGUUGUUCGGAAUUACUGGGCGUAAAGCGCGCGUAGGCGGUCUUGUACGUUAGAGGUGAAAGUCCGGGGCUCAACCCCGGAAUUGCCUUUAAGACUGCAUCGCUUGAAUCCGGGAGAGGUGAGUGGAAUUCCGAGUGUAGAGGUGAAAUUCGUAGAUAUUCGGAAGAACACCAGUGGCGAAGGCGGCUCACUGGACCGGUAUUGACGCUGAGGUGCGAAAGCGUGGGGAGCGAACAGG